ACAGGUGUAGCUCAGUUGAUAGAGUGUGUGCCCAGCAUGCACAAGGUCCUGGGUUCAAACCCCAGCUCCCAUA
This 73-nucleotide transfer RNA is filed under the name Cricetulus griseus (Chinese hamster). It matches the Rfam family "tRNA". From Rfam's summary of the family: Transfer RNA (tRNA) molecules are approximately 80 nucleotides in length. Their secondary structure includes four short double-helical elements and three loops (D, anti-codon, and T loops). Lineage: Eukaryota; Metazoa; Chordata; Mammalia; Rodentia; Cricetidae. The record is from Rfam by way of RNAcentral.